RNAcentral lists this ribosomal RNA (186 nucleotides) under Aeromonas veronii. RNAcentral's name for it is "partial 16S ribosomal RNA". It matches the Rfam family "Bacterial small subunit ribosomal RNA", at positions 1 to 174 of the family's 1533-position model. The record is from RNAcentral. Lineage: Bacteria; Pseudomonadati; Pseudomonadota; Gammaproteobacteria; Aeromonadales; Aeromonadaceae.
ACUUAAAUUGAAGAGUUUGAUCAUGGCUCAGAUUGAACGCUGGCGGCAGGCCUAACACAUGCAAGUCGAGCGGCAGCGGGAAAGUAGCUUGCUACUUUUGCCGGCGAGCGGCGGACGGGUGAGUAAUGCCUGGGGAUCUGCCCAGUCGAGGGGGAUAACUACUGGAAACGGUAGCUAAUACCGCAU